Molecule: ribosomal RNA, 450 nt
Filed under: uncultured bacterium
Lineage: Bacteria
Description: partial 16S ribosomal RNA
Rfam family: Bacterial small subunit ribosomal RNA
Source: RNAcentral
GUGGGGAAUUUUGGACAAUGGGCGCAAGCCUGAUCCAGCAAUGCCGCGUGUGUGAAGAAGGCCUUCGGGUUGUAAAGCACUUUUGGCAGGAAAGAAAUAGUGCGUGCUAAUACCAUGCGCGAAUGACGGUACCUGCAGAAUAAGCACCGGCUAACUACGUGCCAGCAGUCGCGGUAAGACGUAGGGUGCAAGCGUUAAUCGGAAUUACUGGGCGUAAAGCGUGCGCAGGCGGUUUUGUAAGACAGGGGUGAAAUCCCCGGGCUCAACCUGGGAACUGCACUUGUGACUGCAAGGCUAGAGUGUGUCAGAGGGAGGUGGAAUUCCGCGUGUAGCAGUGAAAUGCGUAGAGAUGCGGAGGAACACCGAUGGCGAAGGCAGCCUCCUGGGAUAACACUGACGCUCAGGCACGAAAGCGUGGGGAGCAAACAGGAUUAGAUACCCUUGUAGUCC